This is a non-coding RNA of Bos taurus (domestic cattle), 72 nucleotides long. NCBI's taxonomy places the organism in Eukaryota, Metazoa, Chordata, Mammalia, Artiodactyla, Bovidae. The record is from Rfam.
UCCCUUGUGGCUCAGCUGGUAAAGAAUCUGCCUGCAAUGCAGAAGACCUGGGUUCAAUCCCUGGGUUGGGAA